AGUAACACGUGAGCAAUCUGCCCUUCUCUUCGGAAUAAGCGUUGGAAACGACGUCUAAUGCCGAAUACGACCUCCUUUCGCAUGAUCGGAGGUGGAAAGCUCCGGCGGAGAAGGAUGAGCUCGCGGCCUAUCAGCUAGUUGGUGAGGUAACGGCCCACCAAGGCGACGACGGGUAGCCGGCCUGAGAGGGUGACCGGCCACACUGGGACUGAGACACGGCCCAG
RNAcentral lists this ribosomal RNA (224 nucleotides) under uncultured bacterium. RNAcentral describes it as "partial 16S ribosomal RNA". It matches the Rfam family "Bacterial small subunit ribosomal RNA", at positions 109 to 334 of the family's 1533-position model. The record is from RNAcentral.